GGACGCAAAUGCCUGUCGGCCAAAACAAAUUCGAAACGGCUAAAAUGAAUGCACAAAAUUAUCCAAGAGUAAUUUUGUCAUAAAGCUAUUUUUAAAGAACGAAGUCGCUGGAAGGUUUCAGUUGCCAUCCUCUUUUCUGCUUCUUUCUUUCCGUCUCUUUCUGCCCCAGUUUCUUUAUCUCUCAAACCCUAAUUUUUCUGUCUUUCUGAUCUCAUCUCUCUACUCGCGCCGAUCAGUCGAACACCGUCCGGGAAUGCGUCUCCGAAUUCAUUAGCUUCGUCACCAGCGAGGAAUUUUCACCUCUCUCUCUCUAUCUCUCGUUCUCUGUCUACUGUUAGUCAAAUUUGUUUAGAUCUUUUCAUCGGGGUUACAAACGGCAACACUCUCUUGCUGAAGAAUAGCGAAUUUGGUCUCGGUUUGAAGAAAAUUUGAAGCCCAUAAAAGAUUACAUCUCCUGCUGUCGAUUUGAUUUGGGAGAUUGGGUUUUUCGAGUUUGUGACUUUUCUUUGAAGCCUGCGAAGACCUGUGUGUUUAAGGAGAUCCGGUUUUUCGGGUUUCUGACGUUUCUUUGCAGCCUGCGAAGGCCUCUGUAUUUAAGCUGAAAUAGCUAAAGUUGAGAAUGUUGGAUCUGUUGCCUUAGGGAAGAAAUUUUAAACCUACAAAAGCUUGGUUUUCAGGAAAUCGCCAAUCCUGCAGACACUUUGGGUUUCCUGCUUUCUCACCAGAGAUCUCCGCCAUCACAGCUCCACCAAACUCGCUGAUAGCGUCCACUCUCUCAAACCAGAUCUUUGAGAGGACACCCAUCAUUUGGCUGAUUGCAUAGGAUUGCUACAUCUGAACACUGUACAGGCCUCUAGAAGUUUGAAUUGUGAUUGGAAAUUGCAGUCCACACAUGGAGUAUAGGAGGUGCGGCUUUUUGUAUUUUUGGCCUUUUUUAUCAGCUGUUGUAACAUUUUUGUAAUAGAUGAUUUUGGGUCUUUGAAAUGGUUACGUGUUGUUUUUAACCUUUUGGUUCUCGUGUGUUCUGUUCUUCAUUGCUUCGUGAUUCUCAUUUUUCAGUAUUGGGUAAUGGAAAUUUGUAAAAAUAGUCAGUACGUUUUUUUAGAAAGUUGGCAUUUUUAGUUAUAUUUUAUGUUUAAUCCCAAAUGUAAGACUGGAAAAUAAUUGAAAUGAUGGUUUUUUAAAAACUCUUAAUUUUUUUUUUCUUCUAGGAUUUAAAAGCAUCUUUUCCCGAUUGGUUACAAGGGUUAUGUUCUCUAUAAUUGGUUCACCAUGUUUGAUUAAUUCUAAGUUUUGUACUACUAAGUUUUGUCUUCUGUGUAAUGAGAUAUUUCUUUUGGUCUUUCAGAUUUCGGCAUGGGAAAGUUCACCUUGUCUAAUUAGAUUGUGUAUGCCUUCAGUUCUUUAUUUAAUUGUUCUGUUUGCGUUCGGUGCGAUGAUCAAAAUUUUAUAUGUUUGGAAUUAUUCACUUAACACCAAUUUGUUACAUUCAGGUCUCCACCCCACACUUCACAAGUUCAAUAGAAGACGGUUCUGUAGAUUGUGUCUGCAAUUAGAUAAGAGAUCAACCGUUAUUUUGUUAUCAUUUAAAUUAUAUAAGUCGCACGUAGAACGCCUUAAUUACAAAAGGGUCUUCCGCACGCGCGUGAGUGCGUGUAGGGAGGCUAGUAUUAACUAAAGUUGAUUUGAAUGUGAUGACGAUGGCAACCACUAACAAUAAAACAACAAUCUCCUUAAUCUAGGGGAAAGAACCAACAGGUGAGGAAGAAAAGAAAGGAGGAAAGAGAGCUCUGCUCAUGCAAAUGUGCUUCUUGGGGAUGUUGGAGCUGGGAAAUCAAGUUUGGGGUUGCGCUUUGUAAAAGAACAAUUCGUUGAAUUCCAGCAAAGCGCGGGCAUUCUUGCUAGUGAUAUUGAUUCUGGAAGCAUGCCGAAACAAGGUUGUUUGAUCGCAAUUCACAAGAAUUGCUCCUCCAAUUAGGCUUCCACAACAUCAAUAACCCUUACGUUGAUAUGUACUUCCAUUACACCAAGGACGCCAUGUCGAUCGUGGAAUUCCACAAAACUCUGAUGAACCAAGUGCUUCCCUUGGCCUGGUCGCAUAAUCCUCUAACCACACACAAACUCAUCUGCAAUUUCAUAGACAGACGCGGCGACGGUGAAAAACGCAACCAAGACGAAGCUUUCUUCACAGCGGCGGUUUGGCUCCACCAGAACCACUCGAAAACCCUUGCAUACAAUCUUGUGCCAAUUUCCGGCUCCUUUGGACAUAUCCUACACCUUCCCUGCAUUCUUUUGCAAGUUUUACGAGGCGAAGCUCACUUGAAAUUUACUGGAAGGACGAGGGAAGAGGCGGAUUCAAACGGAAUGGUGAAGGUCAAGGAUGCCAAGUCAGAGGUAAGCGAAUUGUUGUUGAGGAGGAAGGUGAUCCACACGGCCAACAAGGCGGCUCAGAAAUACAAGCGCGACGUUGAUUAUUGCUUCUUGCACAACCGUGUUUUGGAUAUUUUUGCCCAGAGCCUCAAGUUUGAUAUUGAAAAAUUUCAUCAUCAUAAGGACCAUGACCAUGACCAUCAUGAUGAUUAUUGCUUGGAGAUUACCCAAGUAGUUACCUUUUUGCCUACCAUCGCUGAUCAUCAUAUGUUGUUCGAAAACAUUGCGAGGAAGGUUUUCCGGUCAGAAUCAUGCCUCUGAGAAGGGGAUAGUAGUCUUUGUUGUAUUGACCGACUGAUGAAGGAGGUUUUGUCGCCCUUGAGAAAAACUAUGGCGCCAGAGGCCAGGGUACCUGCCAACCGGUGGGGUUAUAGAGCGGAGUACAAGCGAGAGCAACUGGCUGUAGCUAAUGAGGUUGAUCCUGGCGUGCAGCGCUGCUUUCGCAUGACAUAUUAAGCUAUAUCAAGUAUUUUGAGCUUGAGCAAGAGGCUGAUGUUAAGUGGAAGGAAAUGAUGGAGGUCUACUCAAAUCAGGGGAAGCAGAAGAAUUGGUUGGAUGAGUGAUGUCGACAACACCUUGUCGGUGGGUUUGGCUUUGGGGCUUUUGUUGCUUCAAUUGAGUGAUGAGCCGUGGAAGGGAAAUGUGGUCACCUAAAGCAAAGACCCUCAGCUGCAUUCGAUACAAGGCGAGGAUCUUAAUUGGAGGGCCGAAUAUAUGCAAACUUUGAUCAAAAGCCAGGACUGGACGGCUGAUUUCGGGAACGUGUUCGAUGUGAUUCUAGAAGAGGUAGUGAAUGCGAAUUUGAAGCUAAAUAAGAUGGUCAAGAAGGUGUUUGCCUUGACCACAUACAAACACUUCUUGACAGGCAGCAACUUCAGCUUCUGGGGGGAGAUUAAGAUGUCUCCCUUUGUUCUUCUAGUUUAUGCUACUGCUUUCACUUCUCCAAAGCUCUCCUUUCUUUGAGUUCUGAUGAGACUAAGAGAAAGUAUAUAUAGGGGCAUAUGUGUUGCUAAUAAGUGUGUGUGUGUGUGUGUUUGUGUGUGUGUGUGUAUAUACAUGUAAUUAAUACUUUUGUAGAGGAGCAAAGUGAGUGACAAGAACUAAAAAAGUGGGACUGGAAAACGGUAGGCUUAUAACGUUCAAAUUCUAACAGUCACUUUGAGUGGGGCAAUAAAAACGAAUAAAAUGUGGGGCCUGGACUUGUUGCCUCAAGUGAUCUGGCACUGGCACUUCCAAAUGUAAAGAAAAAGGGCACAAAGACAACUAGAUGAGCACCAUAGCCUUAAAUGGGUUGAUCUUA
This is a long non-coding RNA of Pyrus x bretschneideri (Chinese white pear), 3730 nucleotides long. RefSeq lists it as uncharacterized. The transcript has 11 exons. The record is from RefSeq and is a predicted model, not a curated record. NCBI's taxonomy places the organism in Eukaryota, Viridiplantae, Streptophyta, Magnoliopsida, Rosales, Rosaceae.